GUACUCACAUCAGCAGCACAUUUACAAAAACUGGAAUAAUACUGAAAAGAUUAGCAUGGCCCAUGCCCAAGGGUGACACAAAAAUUCAUCAAGUGUUCCAUAUUUUU
Peromyscus leucopus (white-footed mouse) is the source of this 107-nucleotide small nuclear RNA. The record is from RefSeq and is a predicted model, not a curated record. Lineage: Eukaryota; Metazoa; Chordata; Mammalia; Rodentia; Cricetidae.